This 1360-nucleotide long non-coding RNA is filed under the name Zonotrichia albicollis (white-throated sparrow). Its description in RNAcentral is "lncRNA (ENSZALG00000003009.1)". Lineage: Eukaryota; Metazoa; Chordata; Aves; Passeriformes; Passerellidae. The record is from RNAcentral.
GGGGUUUUUGAUUUCUUUUUUUCUUAGUGAUUUUUUAAAUCACUAAUUAUUUUCAAUUAAAAUAAUCACUAAUUCAAUUAAAAAUAAUCACUACUUUUUUAAAUCACUAAUUAUUUACUUAGGGAGUUUUUUGGGAAUAUUUUGGAAAUUUUUUGAAGUAUUUUUUUGGGAGUAUUUUGCAUAAUUUUUUUUAAGCUUUUUGGGGAUUUUUUAAAUUGUUUGGGGAGAUUUCUUGAGAAUUUCUUAAGGCUGGAACAGCCAAACCUUUCCUUGGAAAUUCGAGGCCUGGAACAGCCCAAAAAACCACAAUCUUCUGGGAAUUCCAAGUCCCAAAGAAGGAUUCUCCCCAAAAUUUCCUUUUUUUUUUUUUUUUCUGGCCGCAGCUCGGAGCGAGGACGAGGAGGGCCGGGAUUCCCGGUGCUCCCGGAAUUCCGGCGGGAAGGAUCCCAAACGUUCCAAGCGGCCCCGAACCAUCCUGAGCUCCCAACAGCGCCGGGCAUUCAAAGCCUCCUUUGAGGUCUCCUCCAAACCCUGCCGGAAGGUGCGGGAGACGCUGGCGGCCGAGACGGGGCUGACGGUCCGGGUGGUCCAGGUGUGGUUUCAGAACCAACGAGCCAAGAUGAAGAAGAUUGCCCGCAGGCAGCAGCAGCAGGAGCAGCUCGGGAAUUCCAGAGGGGGAAUUCCAGGCGGGAGAGGACCCGGGAGGAGCGGCCGGGAUGGGAAUGAGGAUGAGGAGGGCCUGCAGCGGAUCCUGGUCCCGUUUUCCCGGAUUCCGCCGCCGUCCCUGGAGCCCAACGGAUUCGGGAGCGAGGCCGGAAUGUUCCGGGGAACCCCCCCGGAGCUCCGGCCCUACGACUCUGAGGGAGUUUUCCAGGAGCUGGACGGAGACACCCUGGGAUCCUUGGGAGCGGCCCUGAUCUCCACAGAGAAUUCCCAGCAGCUGAUCCUCGGGAAUGCUGGAAUUCCUGAAAUCCCCGAGCCCAGGGAUGCCCUGGAGCGCCUGUACCCCGGGAAUGCCAGAAUUCCCGAAAUGCCCGAGCCUGGGAAUCCCAUGGAGCGCCUGUACUCCAUGCAGAGCUCCUACUUCACCUCCUGACAGCCUGGAAUUCCCGAAAAUCCCAGUCCUGGGAAUCCCAAAAAAACUGGGAUCGACCCCCAACCCCCAGCAUUCCGCUGGAAUUUGGGAUCUUCCCUCUACUCCCGUGCCAAUUUUGGGGAAUUUUUGGGGGAGAAAUUUUUGGGAAUGCUUCUUUUUUUUUUUGUUUGUUUGUUUGUUUGUUUUUUGUUGUUGUUUUUUUGGGGUUUUUUUGUAUGUCUGGUAGGAAAUAAAUCCCAGGAAAAAAAAAGGAAAAAAAAAGAC